This 1456-nucleotide long non-coding RNA is filed under the name Taeniopygia guttata (zebra finch). Its description in RNAcentral is "lncRNA (ENSTGUG00000022990.1)". Lineage: Eukaryota; Metazoa; Chordata; Aves; Passeriformes; Estrildidae. The record is from RNAcentral.
CACAUUGUCCCUGGGGAAAGAGAGGUGCAGAACCCUUCACUAAUGGCCUGGAAUGUCAAACAGCAAUCACAGCCAUGGACAGCUCUCGGGAACCACUGCACCAUGGAUUUUCCAUCCUGGAAGGCCAAGAUUGAGAGUGUCCUGCUGGUGCCUCAGGGCCUGGCUGAACAGGGCUUGUCAGAGAUCUGGCAGGGAGGAGUCCCGGCAGGGAUAAAGGUGCUCCUCACCUGCUGCAGCCUCACCCAGCGCUGCCCAGAGCGAGAGGAAGAUGAAGGUGGCUGUGCUCAGCGUGGCCCUGCUCUUCUCCAUCCUGCUGUGCUCCCCGGCUCAGGCCCAGACACCCCCGGAAGAAACCCAAGAUGAUCUCCUGGAGGUGGAUUUAGACGAUGUGGACGUGGAUGCGGGUUUGCCUCUGGUGGGUACCACGAGUUCUGCCGGAGUCAGACCCUCCCCUUGCAUGGCCACCAGAGCCCAGGCCAUCCCAGUUUGUCCCAGCCCAGCCCAGUGCACCCCUGGUGUUUCCCCAGAGACCAGCCUGCCCCACAGCUCCUCCCCAGGGAUCCCUUUGCCCAGGCCCCCUUUGCAUUCCCAUCCCUGUCAGCCCAGGACCCCCUGGAUGAGCCAGGACGCAGCCCCUGCCCCAGCUGUGCCCCUUGGCCAGGAGCCCAGUGCUUCUGGGCAGGAGCAGAGCAGCUCCUGCACCCCAUUGCUGCUGCAGCCCCUUCCCCAAGGCCCCCCUGCUCUCCCCUGCCUCCCAGCCCGGCCCAGUGCCCCCAGUGUGUCUCUAACGCUGCCCUUGUCCCCAUUAUUUAGGAAAAGCUGGAGGAACUUCUGCGGAUGAAGCGCGCCGUGGCUGCCUCUCUGAAGGUCUAGGUGAGCCGUGCCUGCAGGGACAGGGCUGGGGACAAAGCCCAUCCAUGGCCCAGCAGGAAACACCAGUGGUCACCUUCUGGGCUUUGUCUUUCAGGGUCAGAAGGAGCAGUGUCCUUUUCCUCUCCAGUGGCAUGAGGAGAUGAUCAUGCCUGGAGGAACCCCUGACCCUUUGAGCCCGGGCCAUUUCCCCUGAAUAAUCAAGCAUCAAUAAUCAAUAAACCCUUUCAGCAUAGCUUUGCUCUGUGUCUGUGUGUGUCCCCUAUCCAGUGGUCCAGGGAAGUCAGGCCAGGUCUGGGCUCUGCUGCCUUGGCACAGCCCGUGCUCUCCCCCAGACAAAUUGUGUGUUGGGAGUUGUGCAGGCUCCAGGGGGAGUGGGUUGAGUAGGUGGGUGGGCGUGCAGGUGCUGAGAAAGGCUGCAGUUCACCAUGAGUGUGGUAGGAAUGGCCUGGGUUGAAAAGGAAAAAAUUAAAUUCAAAACAAGGUUUCCUUUAAAACAUUUUUCCCUUAAAAUUCUUUAUUCACUCCAAAGAAUUUAAUGGCUCAAAAAAAAUCUUUAUAUGUCAAAAGCAUGUUGAAAUUAUUU